CCUGCUAUCAGUGCUAAACUGCUUAUAUUGUAGAUGUCACCACAAAACCAAACUACAUCAUUAAAGAUGCAAGAAAGAAAGGACCACACGUUAUUACAGCUGAAAUCAAAUUUUAAUUCCUUUUCAUACUCAGCAAUCAUAGUCUAAAAUUCAAUAGAUUCAACACCAUAAACAUGGCAGGAAGCUCCGUAAUGUUAGCAGUUGGUCCAAACUCCUAGCCUCAUACUCAUCAAGCCAAAUACACAUCAGAUUGGGAAACACCAUAAUUACUGCUUCUGCAUCAGAAAAUAAGAUCCAGUGGUUAUACACACUAAUAUUUUCCUAAUAAUAAGUCCAACCGGAUCCAACAUAUACUGGUGGCUAACGUGAACAAAUUGGGUCGAAUCUAGCCAGUGCAAUCGAGACUACGAUCCAGCAGGGGAAAAGGAUAAAAGUAAAUAAGAAUAAUUGUCACAACAUACUUUGCAUUGCCAUGUCACAAAAAAUAGGGUGAUGCCAAGAUGAAGUUGAGCAUGAGCUCGUACUUCGCAUUGCCGUGCCCAUCUACUUUUUUAGUAAAAUGUAGUUAUUUGUAAGCAUGAAAGAUGGAUGAUAAGAUAUAAUAGGCGAUGAUAGGCUACUGGUUCCAAUACAUAUAUUGGGAAGAAAUCAAAAACUUUGGAACAUUGAUAUUGCCUUAACUUUGGACGGUAAUAAUACUGGUACACAUAUACUGAAUAAAUGGAGUUCAAAGGGUAACACUACCAAACUAAUCAAAGUGGCAGUGCUGGCAUGAAGCAGCAAGACAAUUUGCAAUUAAAGGUGCAUUGAGCUUGUACGUCUUGUGCAAGAUUCAUGCAAGAUAUUAUGUUUGAGUUUGUUCAAAAGGAGUUGUUUAAUGAAUGAAGAUUUAAGCGGCAAACACGAAAAUAAGUUUAUAUGACUGCUCUUAUUAAAGAGCAUGGAUUAAACUUAUGCAAAGAUAUGGGGCUGACCUACAAACUUGUAAGCAACUUAAGAAGAACAGCCACAUUACUCUCUUUAUCCCCCAUUAUCCCAGAGACCAAUGCCCCCCACCGAAUUCCUCUCUCACCAUCCCUGCAUAAGAUAAAUAUGUUUGAUUAAGAGGACAAAAAGAUAGGGUGGGGGAUCAAAUGCCAAUAAAGGCUAUUGCAG
RNAcentral lists this long non-coding RNA (1155 nucleotides) under Triticum aestivum (bread wheat). RNAcentral describes it as "long non-coding RNA (TAES_LNC003341)". Lineage: Eukaryota; Viridiplantae; Streptophyta; Magnoliopsida; Poales; Poaceae. The record is from RNAcentral.